UACGGAGGGUGCAAGCAUUGAUCGGAAUUAUUGGGCGUAAAGGGCGCGUAGGCGGCGAGAUAAGUCAGAUGUGAAAUUCCGGGGCUCAACCCCGGAGCUGCAUUUGAAACUCUCUUGCUAGAGUGUAGUUAGGGAAAACGGAAUUCCACGUGUAGCGGUGAAAUGCGUAGAUAUGUGGAAGAACACCGGUGGUGAAGACGGUUUUCUGGGCUAAAACUGACGCUGAGGCGCGAAAGCUAGGGGAGCAAACAGG
RNAcentral lists this ribosomal RNA (253 nucleotides) under uncultured bacterium. RNAcentral's name for it is "partial 16S ribosomal RNA". It matches the Rfam family "Bacterial small subunit ribosomal RNA", at positions 524 to 776 of the family's 1533-position model. The record is from RNAcentral.